UCAAUUAUAUAUAUUUAUAUUCAUAAACCUCAGACAGUAUAGCUGUAAAAGUGUAUUACAAAUCUUUGGAAAAAAAUUUAGGGAGACCAUGCUAUGCUAAGCUAUACAGUUGGACCAACACAAAAUAUCUCUGGGUCAACCAGUACAGCAAGACACAUGGACCACCACCCUCACGUGCACCAUAUUAAUAGUCAAUUGGUCAACAGUAUAGUCUAUGUAUGGGCUUCAACCUUCAGCCAAUUAGAAGCUAGCACCUGUGAGAACAAUGGAGAAGAGGAUGGGCAGCCAUACCAGCCAAGGGAGGUGGAUAUCAGAUAUUAGAUGGCAAGGAGAGUAGAGUAAGCAACUGCCAAGUUUCACUCGUCUCAGCUCUACCCAAAAUAGCCAGACCAAGCCCUCUUCUUCCCAGCAACACUAGCAUUCCCCUGUCCAAAACCAACAAAGAUCCAAGAACAAUAAGUGAAGAUGGUGACAUGAGAAAUCAUCAGUAGACUGAAGGGGACAGGCUAGAGCAAGAAGCUAGCCUACUGGACUGGGGUCUGGAGCGUAGGAGCAGCAAGAGUAGGGCCAACAGAGAGAACAGAAGAAGAAAGGUGAGUUCUUCCUCUUCUGCCAGUUCUUAGUACUCACAUACACAAAGAGGCCUAACCCAGAUUUACACACAAUAUUCCUCAAUGGAUUUUCACAGAUGCACAUAAAAGAUAAGCCAUCACAGUAGCAUCACAUCUCAGUUUAGGAAAUAAAAGUAUGAGGAAGAAAGGGGAUACAGCCUCAAAUAACUCAAAUAAAAGGGAUCAGGUUAUUGUACAGUAUCAGCACACCAUAAUCUUGAACAGGGAGUGAUGAACUUGUUCAACACACACAUGUGAGCCAAUUUAAUUUACUAAAUCUGAGAACUUGAACGUAAAAAUAAAAAAAAUAAAAAAAUUGGGAAGGGAACAAGGCAUCACUAACCUGCACAUAUGUUCGAUCUGCUCCAUGGCCACGCACUGGAGCUCUAACCUGCACCAUCCAGCAUUACGGCGACGCCCAACACCGACCACUUCAAUCCGGAGCAGGGAAAUCACAUCCCCAAUAGGGUUUGACCUGCAAGCCAAAAAGAACACACACACAGAGGGGGAUUAGAGAGUUGAGGCUGAAAUUCAUGGGGAUAAUAUGGGGAAUCACAUCAGGGGAGAGAGAGUGUGGAGGAUCUAGCAGCGGCAUCUUUCCCGUCGCUGGCGGCGGCGCCGAUCUGGGGAAGGAGCAGAGGAG
RNAcentral lists this long non-coding RNA (1254 nucleotides) under Triticum aestivum (bread wheat). RNAcentral describes it as "long non-coding RNA (TAES_LNC004101)". Lineage: Eukaryota; Viridiplantae; Streptophyta; Magnoliopsida; Poales; Poaceae. The record is from RNAcentral.